GCUGGUGGCAAAGGGUUUGCUGAGUCCCUAACAGAGAUGGUUUUUAAUUUGGGUCAUCAUUAGGAUCAGAGGAGGAGAAAGCAAGCAAAUCACUGCCCAAGUGUGUCACCCUCAUUCAGGUGUCAUGAAGGGCCUGGAAUCGUAGAAUGGUUGAGGAUCCAGGUGUGACAGCUGAGGCUCCAGAAAAUGGGAAUGCAACCAAACCAACCCAGAGGAGAGGCUACUUUUUCAGCACUAAAGGUGACUCACAAGCAGCAUAACUCUGGGAAAGUUAAAAGUGGUAAUUCAACAAGACUCAAGGAUUGUGUGGUACUCAAAAGGAUAAAAUAACCGUGCAGGGAGCUCUUCUUCCUCCAUGUCCUGCUGAUGAAUGAAACUGGAAAGCCAGAUCAGUUCAGAGAUGCUGAAAAAUAUGAUCACAUCUUCAUGAGCACCCAGGUAGGCUGAAAAUCACUGCCCUGCAAG
RNAcentral lists this long non-coding RNA (465 nucleotides) under Junco hyemalis (dark-eyed junco). Its description in RNAcentral is "lncRNA (ENSJHYG00000007615.1)". Lineage: Eukaryota; Metazoa; Chordata; Aves; Passeriformes; Passerellidae. The record is from RNAcentral.